CGAUGGGAGCUUGCUCCCAGGCGUCGAGUGGCGGACGGGUGAGUAAUACAUAGGAAUCUACCCAGUAGCGGGGGACAACCUGGUGAAAACCAGGCUAAUACCGCAUACGACCUACGGAUGAAAGCAGGGGAUCUUCGGACCUUGCACUAUUGGAUGAGCCUAUGUCAGAUUAGCUUGUUGGUGGGGUAAAGGCCUACCAAGGCGACGAUCUGUAGCUGGUCUGAGAGGACGAUCAGCCACACUGGGACUGAGACACGGCCCAGACUCCUACGGGAGGCAGCAGUGGGGAAUAUUGCACAAUGGGCGCAAGCCUGAUGCAGCAAUGCCGCGUGUGUGAAGAAGGCCUGCGGGUUGUAAAGCACUUUCAGUGGGGAGGAAAACGUAACGGUUAAUAACCGUUGCCCUGACGUUACCCACAGAAGAAGCACCGGCUAACUCUGUGCCAGCAGCCGCGGUAAUACAGAGGGUGCGAGCGUUAAUCGGAAUUACUGGGCGUAAAGCGCGCGUAGGCGGCUUGGUCAGUCGGAUGUGAAAGCCCCGGGCUUAACCUGGGAAUUGCAUUCGAUACUGCCAGGCUAGAAUGUAGUAGA
RNAcentral lists this ribosomal RNA (590 nucleotides) under uncultured bacterium. RNAcentral's name for it is "bacterial SSU rRNA". It matches the Rfam family "Bacterial small subunit ribosomal RNA", at positions 69 to 655 of the family's 1533-position model. The record is from RNAcentral.